This is a long non-coding RNA of Rhincodon typus (whale shark), 660 nucleotides long. RefSeq lists it as uncharacterized. The transcript has 4 exons. NCBI's taxonomy places the organism in Eukaryota, Metazoa, Chordata, Chondrichthyes, Orectolobiformes, Rhincodontidae. The record is from RefSeq and is a predicted model, not a curated record.
GCAGUGCAUCAAUUAAUAGGAAAGCCAUAUGCACAACAAUUCCUGCUUGUCUUGCUAAGACUUGAUUCAAGCCACAAGAUGCGGCCUGUGAACAUUUAGAAGUUUCAGUCAAAAACAGCAGAAUGUGAAGAAGCUGAACAGAAAAAGAGGACAUGAUCAGAAGACAAUUGCAAAAGCAGCUCUGUUUUUCUAGUCUGCAUUUCCUAUUAAAAAGGAUAUGGUGAUCUUGGAAUUAAGAAUCCUUCGAAGUGGCUUUUCAUCCUAAUUUAGAGCAUCUUGACUCUUCUGGGUCUGUUGAAGAGGCAGGAAAAUGAGUUCCCUGGUGUCUUCAGAAGUGCAAAGUGGGAGAGAGAACAUUUUUGGAGAUGCUCCCGCUACAAUACAACUGGCUAGCGUCGAAGAUACCUCGGAAUCUGAGAUGGACGUGGCGGAUGUCGUCACCUCAACAUCUUUGCCGCCUGAAGAGGAGAUGAAUUUCUUCUGAGAUGCUCAGUGCGCAAGAGGCAAGCUACUGUGCAUUACACACUGACCAUAUCAGAGGCAGAAUUGCUGGAACUGACGCAGUACUAAAACACCCCAGGAGGAGCUGCAAAAAAGAACCAGCCUAUAUCCUCGAACUCAGAAGAGGAAGGAUGUAGUGAUUGUAACAAGGUUAGCCAG